RNAcentral lists this ribosomal RNA (254 nucleotides) under uncultured bacterium. Its description in RNAcentral is "partial 16S ribosomal RNA". It matches the Rfam family "Bacterial small subunit ribosomal RNA", at positions 524 to 776 of the family's 1533-position model. The record is from RNAcentral.
UACGUAGGGUGCGAGCGUUGUCCGGAAUUAUUGGGCGUAAAGAGCUCGUAGGCGGUCUGUCGCGUCGGUCGUGAAAACUUGGGGCUUAACCCUGAGCUUGCGGUCGAUACGGGCAUGACUGGAGUUCGGCAGGGGAGACUGGAAUUCCUGGUGUAGCGGUGAAAUGCGCAGAUAUCAGGAGGAACACCGGUGGCGAAGGCGGGUCUCUGGGCUGUACCUGACGCUCAAACACGAAAGCUAGGGGAGCGAACGGG